AAGAAAUUGGCGCACUGUAGUGAGUACUUUAAUUGUUUUAUUCGGCUCUUUUUAUAUUUUCUUUGUAUAUAAUUGGUUCGUGAAUUGAGCUGAUAAUUUCUCCGCGAGAUAUCUUCUUAUGCGUUUUAUGUGACUCAUCGGGUUUACCUAUGUUUCAGGACGAAACUUUUGUUCACAAGAAAUCGAUAAUACAUGAAAAUUUAACGAAGUUCUACGUCUCAGUGUAUUCACUUAACAUUUCGUCUACAAGCUAUUAAGAACAAUGAUUGAAAAUUACUUGAAUAUUUGAAUUUACUUUGCUUGAUUACUAGAAAUUUCUUGAAACUUGAAACAAUGAAGGCAAAUGAAGACAUUAUUAUGGAACCGAUUGGAAAGACGAAACGAGCUCGAGCCAGCGCAAAAAGACGAAACUUUUGUUCACAAGAAAUCGAUAAUACAUGAAAAUUUAACGAA
Amphibalanus amphitrite is the source of this 453-nucleotide long non-coding RNA. RefSeq lists it as uncharacterized. NCBI's taxonomy places the organism in Eukaryota, Metazoa, Arthropoda, Thecostraca, Balanomorpha, Balanidae. The record is from RefSeq and is a predicted model, not a curated record. The transcript has 2 exons.